UACAGAGGUCUCAAGCGUUGUUCGGAUUCAUUGGGCGUAAAGGGUGCGUAGGCGGCGCGGUAAGUCCGAUGUGAAAUCUCCAGGCUCAACCUGGAAAUGGCAUUGGAUACUAUUUAGCUUGAGGAGUGGAGGGGGGACUGGAAUUCUCGGUGUAGCAGUGAAAUGCGUAGAUAUCGAGAGGAACACCAGUGGCGAAGGCGAGUCCCUGGACAGGUACUGACACUCAACUACGAAAGCGUGGGGAGCAAACAGG
This 253-nucleotide ribosomal RNA is filed under the name uncultured bacterium. RNAcentral's name for it is "partial 16S ribosomal RNA". It matches the Rfam family "Bacterial small subunit ribosomal RNA", at positions 524 to 776 of the family's 1533-position model. The record is from RNAcentral.